AAAGAAGUACCUCAAACGUGAUGACAAAGAUUCAGUUAAGGCUGGAAAUAGAAAUGAUGUUCGUGUUUUGAUGAGAGUGACGAUGAAAAUCACCGACAGUUGUAAGAGUUUUGAUGAGAGAGUGAUAAUGAAAUCUCCUAGGGUUUUUGCGCAGAGAAUGACGAUGAAGUUAAGCAUUGAUAGGUAAACGAAAAGUUAGAGACUAGUUCUUUGAAGUAUUUUAUGCAAAAUAUUCUCAUGUCGGUUCUUAGGAAAAAUCGAC
RNAcentral lists this long non-coding RNA (262 nucleotides) under Lathyrus oleraceus (garden pea). Its description in RNAcentral is "Pisum sativum (pea) long non-coding RNA (PSAT_LNC022428)". The record is from RNAcentral. Lineage: Eukaryota; Viridiplantae; Streptophyta; Magnoliopsida; Fabales; Fabaceae.